Molecule: long non-coding RNA, 2357 nt
Filed under: Mytilus galloprovincialis (Mediterranean mussel)
Lineage: Eukaryota; Metazoa; Mollusca; Bivalvia; Mytilida; Mytilidae
Source: RNAcentral
AGCCCUAACAAAUUCCUGACUAAAAACUACAUUUUUGUAGGUUUACCCAUGUAUAUUAGUCCUAAAAACUAUGAUAUGACGUCUUGAAAGGCUAUUGUAUUUUUUUCUUUUAUGCCUUUCAUUGACGGAAGGGGUCAAAGCAAAAUUUAAAAUAGCCUUCCAAGAUGUCAUAAUUAUUUGGACUACUGUUUAUAUAAUUAGAUAUGACCUACAACAUUAUUUCCAUGUGAAUUUGGAUCCAGCACUUACCCAACCCUUCCCGUAUCAUAUUUUUACUUAUCAAAAAUGUAUAUCUGUCAUAAAAUGGUUUUUUUUUAUGAAAAUAAGAUUAACCUAAAGUAUACAUGCAUAUAACUGAUGAAAGAUACAUUGCUAUUUUUUCUAAACACAUCAGAAUUUCUUUUCAGGAUACAUUUGUAGUAAUGUAAUGUUUCAUUAUUAUAUAUUGUUAAUGUUAAUUAAGUGAAAAUGUCAAAAUAAUAGGAUCAAAAGCACAAACAGUAAAUAAAUAGCUGGUAAGAUUGUAUGGGAAAAUUGAUUUAGAGAUAAUUGAUUUGACCACACUAUUGGAAACAUUAACAAACAUCAAAAGAUUCUGACAUCUAAUUAGUUUCAGACACUUGUGAUAUAAACAGGCAAGUUGAAAACUUCACCUCCAUCUAAAUUUCACGAUUUUAUCAUGAAAUAUGUAAUAAAGCUUGAAAUAGUGACCAUGGUGACCAGCUCAUCCCUACCACUCAAUUUAUUCAACAACACUACCCUGCUAAAGUUUACUAAGGAAUGCAAUAAUCAUUCCAUAAAAUUUCUAGACCUUGAAAUCCUCAAAGACGAGCACAUGAAAAUACUGGUAAGAUAUGAAAUGCUAUUAAAAAAAAAAAUACAGAAAAAUUUCAACAUCUUCAUAAAAACCCAAAACCAACCCAUUUGGAACUUUAAAUCCUAUAUUAAAGGCAAAGGUAUUCAUUUACAUAGAAACACAAACCAGAAAGAAAACUCUUUAUUGAAAAACCAUUUUAUUAACUAAAAUUGGUAAAACAAAUUUUAUUAAAUUCCAUGACAGAAAAGAUAAAAUUAAGAAAAAGAAAAAAGUUUAAAAUAGAUGUUAUGUAUCAUUUACAUAUUAUCAUCCUCAAGCAGAAUAACUUCAAAAAGUAUUCAGGAAAUUCUGGCAUCUUAUUAAAACAGAUUCUUCAAUAAGUGCUACAUUGUGUAUCAUAUCCCAUUAAAACCUAUCCAUAGGAUUCAAAAGAAAUAGAACAUUGGUGAAUUAAUGAAAUGACCUAUAAACUAGUUUGUAUGAAGGUCACAAUUCCUUCAAAAUAUUUCACUGUGCAGAACUAAUUAAUGACCAUCAUCAUGUAAACCUCACAUGUAAACUGAAAUUCUUAUAAGACAAAAUUCUACCAGGAAACACUUAAUUCAAUAUUUAUUGAAAUAGGAUGAAAUAGUUAGAAAAUCAACAGAGUUCGUGAAAAGUGGUGGUCCUCUGGAUUUUACCACCAAAAUUUUGCAUAGGACUGACACAAUUUUAGUAUUUUUCAAUAGAAUUAAUAAUGAGGACCAGCAGAUUUUCUCCAAGGACCACCUGGGGAAAAAAGAUUUUGUGAACUCUACAAAAAAAAAACAAAAAAUCUAAAUUCAAAUUAACAAAUUUUACAAAAUUAUGAAAAAAUCAAUAAAUUAAAAGCAGUAAUAAAAAAAUGACAAACAGAAGGGGUGGUCUCUGCUGAAGGUUUCCCUUUAAUCACCAUAUUUACAGAAAAACUCUAAACAUUGCUACACAGUAUCAAUGAAAGGCCAGAACAAUGAUUUGUAGUUGCACUUUGCAACUUCAAAUCAUAGGUGGAUAUAACGGCCUUAUUUAUUUAAAAACAAAUAUGUAAAAGACAAUCACUGAAUUACAGGCUCCUGACUUGUGACGGGCACAUACUCAAUUCUAUUUAAAAACAUCUUUAAUUUCUUAUUCAUAUUCAUUCUACUUAUCUUUAGAUGUGUAUGCUUUCGUGUGAAAAUAAAACACUAACCACUAUUGCCUUGCAUUAGGACUAUUUUAAAAUUUUAGAAAAAAGGGGGGAUCUUCUGUAUGUAAAUUCAAAAGUCAAUAGAAAGUUUUCCACCGACUCUGAUAACAAUCUAUUUAUUUUUAUCAGUAUUUUGCAAUCCUUAGUAGAGUCAUAGUCCACAGCUGGUCAUUUCUGGUCAGUCUUCUACAAUAUUGUGGAAAUUAGACAAUAUCCUGCUGUGAAGACAAACAAGGUGUUUGAAUAAAUGAUGUAUCAAUUUUCUGUUAAUUGGUAAAUGUUCUGGCUAUUUAGUUGUGACCUAAAUUCUGGCAUUAGUUAAUAAUGUUAUAGGAC